UCGGGAAAGAACCUGCCUUCAAACAUUUAACUAAUAAAUUAGUGAUACAAUACAAAUUUAAACUGCCUUAUACGGCUUUUUACUUGACUCAUAGUAUAAACAAAAACCGAUAUCACAACGACACCAAAAACUGGUUUUUCUACUGUUAAAAAAUAUGCGUAAACAUUUUUACAUUUAGCCACGAGGCGGCGCUUUUAGCGGGCUGAAGUUGCCUCCAUUCAACGGCAUGAGUCGAUCGGAUCGUCUCACCCGUUCGAUGAAGCUGUGCAAAUAAUAUAACACAAUAUUGAAUGCACAAUGUGCAUAAAAUACUCAGUGAAAUUGUUCUUUACAAGUCACAAUUUAGUAUAAACAAUGAAAGUGAAGUGUUUUAGUUUAUUUAUCAUAGUUCUUGUGAUAUUAGGUUUAAGUUUACAAGGAUCCGAUGCAGCCGUAAAGAAGAAACGAACAUGCAGAUAUGAUUGCACAGAGCUCUGCCAACUCCAGGGGACAAGUCACGGGACCUGUCUAGGGUCUAUAUGCAAGUGUUCCACACUGAACGCCAUAGUCGAAGAACUACAUGACCGUGACACUUAAGGAGAAAUAAAUAUUUGAGUACA
Spodoptera frugiperda (fall armyworm) is the source of this 599-nucleotide long non-coding RNA. RefSeq lists it as uncharacterized. The transcript has 2 exons. The record is from RefSeq and is a predicted model, not a curated record. NCBI's taxonomy places the organism in Eukaryota, Metazoa, Arthropoda, Insecta, Lepidoptera, Noctuidae.